This 1219-nucleotide ribosomal RNA is filed under the name metagenome. RNAcentral's name for it is "bacterial LSU rRNA". It matches the Rfam family "Bacterial large subunit ribosomal RNA", at positions 1719 to 2925 of the family's 2925-position model. The record is from RNAcentral.
AAAAUAGCACCGUAACUUCGGGAGAAGGUGCACCCGUUUUGGUGAGAGGACUUGCUCCUCAAGCUGAAGUGGGUCUCAGAAACUAGGGGGCUGCGACUGUUUACUAAAAACAUAGCACUCUGCAAACUCGUAAGAGGAAGUAUAGGGUGUGACGCCUGCCCGGUGCCGGAAGGUUAAUUGAUGGGGUGCAAGCUCUUGAUCGAAGCCCCGGUAAACGGCGGCCGUAACGAUAACGGUCCUAAGGUAGCGAAAUUCCUUGUCGGGUAAGUUCCGACCUGCACGAAUGGCGUAACGAUGGCCCCGCUGUCUCCACCCGAGACUUAGUGAAAUUGAAAUCGCUGUGAAGAUGCAGUGUACCCGCGGCUAGACGGAAAGACCCCGUGCACCUUUACUAUAGCUUUACACUGAGCUUUGAAUAUUCUUGUGUAGGAUAGGUGGGAGGCUUUGAAACCGAGACGCUAGUUUCGGUGGAGCCAUCCUUGAAAUACCACCCUGGAAUGUUUGAGGUUCUAACCCAGGUCCGUAAUCCGGAUCGGAGACAGUGUAUGGUGGGUAGUUUGACUGGGGCGGUCUCCUCCUAAAGAGUAACGGAGGAGCGCAAUGGUACCCUCAGCGCGGUCGGAAAUCGCGCAUUGAGUGCAAAGGCAUAAGGGUGCUUAACUGCGAGACUGACGGGUCGAGCAGGUACGAAAGUAGGUCUUAGUGAUCCGGUGAUUCUGUAUGGAAGGGUCAUCGCUUAACGAAUAAAAGGUACGCCGGGGAUAACAGGCUGAUACCGCCCAAGAGUUCAUAUCGACGGCGGUGUUUGGCACCUCGAUGUCGACUCAUCACAUCCUGGGGCUGUAGUCUGUCCCAAGGGUAUGGCUGUUCGCCAUUUAAAGUGGUACGUGAGUUGGGUUUAGAACGUCGUGAGACAGUUCGGUUCCUAUCUACCGUGGGCGUUAGAGAUUUGAGAGGAGCUGCUCCUGGUACGAGAGGACCGGAGUGGACGAACCUCUGGUGUUCCGGUUGUCACGCCAGUGGCAUUGCCGGGUAGCUACGUUCGGACGGGAUAACUGCUGAAAGCAUCUAAGUAGGAAGCCCCCCCCAAGAUGAGAUCUCUCUGGAUACGUUGAUAUCCCUAAAGGUCCGUUGAAGACUACGACAUUGAUAGGCAGGGUGUGGAAGCGCAGUAAUGUGCGAAGCUAACCUGUACUAAUUGACCGUGAGGCUUGACCAU